CAGUAAGUUCAGUAGAUCUACGCUGUGUCACAAAAAUGCCUCAGCAGCACUUUUACACCUUGCCUUGUCACCGUCCUCGGACGGUCAGGCGGACUGCAGGCGACUACGCCGCCUAGGCAUGCAUGCACUGCAUGCACGCUGGGCCUUGAUCAAAACAUUCUCCGUAGAUCUACCCACAUCGAAAUUAUUUUACUGGUUCCCGGGCAUCCCGGGAACCGCCCUAUGUACGCCCCUGAGAGCUACUGUUGACCGCUAUUCACUGCUGUAUUUAUUUUAUUACUUUGCAUGGCCAUGUUGAGGCAGUCUUCGCAUCAAUUUCCUUUACACAAUGCGUGUACUACAAUGUAUUCAAAACCAACGUCUGUGCCACGCACACAUACACAAACGUUUUAGGGAUGAAACGAGUAUAUCGAAUACUCGAGCGCUUGCUCGAAAAUUCGAAAGGAGUGAGGACUCGUGUCGCAAAACACUCAAAGUAUCUUAUGCACAGUGUACUGUUUGCUUGUACAUCAAGCACGUCUGUUACUCUGACCAGUACUGAUAACCCAUGCAAGUGUGAAAUUAUUACUUGUCCCUACUUACCAACAAAAGACGUAGUUCAGACUAUUUCCUGCACUAGGCUGCAUGCAAGACUACAUGUGUAUCAGGUGUAAUACGUUCAGUGUUACGAGAGUGUGUGCAGUACAUUGUUUUAUGUUGUCAGUAAAAUACUCGUACUCGCUUGAAUACUCGCUCGUUUUUUCAAAGAGUACUCGAGUCCUCAAUUUUGGCACUCGUUUCACCCCUAGGCCAAACAUGCAUGCACUGAAUGCCUGUGCUCUGUGCUCUGUGCACUCUGUGCUUGUGCAGGUCAAACCGACUGCCAGGUCCUGUCACCACCGGCACUGGGCUCAAUGACCGUGAACGGCUUGAUGUUCAGCAACACGACCACGUUUGUGUGCACAUCUCCCUAUGUCCUUAUGGGCUCGGCCGUGCGUACUUGUGAAAUCAACGGCCAGUGGAGCGGUGUGCAGCCAACUUGCGUCCUGACGACUGCUGCUCUGAGUGCGGCCAGUGACGACUGCUGCUCUGAGUGCGGCCAGUGACGAGCUAGUCAAGGACUCCGUCUCAGAACGCAUGACACAAACGUGUAAGCCUAGUAUUGCUGCAUAAUUAAGAGCAAUUUCUCCUACUGCUGACUGCUGAAAAUGUUGUGUCCUUCACAACUAGUCUCUUUGUUCUAAGAAGUCUGCCUCUUUCAUCGA
Sycon ciliatum is the source of this 1244-nucleotide long non-coding RNA. RefSeq lists it as uncharacterized. NCBI's taxonomy places the organism in Eukaryota, Metazoa, Porifera, Calcarea, Leucosolenida, Sycettidae. The record is from RefSeq and is a predicted model, not a curated record. The transcript has 2 exons.